GUAUUACAUAUUUACGUUUCAAUUCCCCUCUUGAAAUAAAGGCUUAGUCAAAAAGGAAAGUAUCAGUUUGGGAUGGAGGGAGUACAAAUGUUUACUACUGUCUUUGACCAUUCAAAAGUACGUUUACAUUGCCCAAAGUUCUAUGAAAGCUCUUCAACUAUAAUAAGCUUAAGCAUUAGAGGGAAGACCAAAAAGGAUGUCUUAGAAGUUGGGAUGAU
Molecule: unclassified non-coding RNA, 218 nt
Filed under: Hevea brasiliensis (rubber tree)
Lineage: Eukaryota; Viridiplantae; Streptophyta; Magnoliopsida; Malpighiales; Euphorbiaceae
Source: RNAcentral